Molecule: ribosomal RNA, 253 nt
Filed under: uncultured bacterium
Lineage: Bacteria
Description: partial 16S ribosomal RNA
Rfam family: Bacterial small subunit ribosomal RNA
Source: RNAcentral
UACGAAGGGUGCAAGCGUUACUCGGAAUUACUGGGCGUAAAGCGUGCGUAGGUGGUUUGUUAAGUCUGAUGUGAAAGCCCUGGGCUCAACCUGGGAAUUGCAUUGGAUACUGGCAGGCUAGAGUGCGGUAGAGGGUAGUGGAAUUCCCGGUGUAGCAGUGAAAUGCGUAGAUAUUAGGAAGAACACCAGUGGCGAAGGCGCUCUACUGGGCCAUUACUGACGCUGAUGGACGAAAGCUAGGGGAGCGAAAGGG